This 303-nucleotide ribosomal RNA is filed under the name uncultured bacterium. RNAcentral describes it as "partial 16S ribosomal RNA". It matches the Rfam family "Bacterial small subunit ribosomal RNA", at positions 507 to 808 of the family's 1533-position model. The record is from RNAcentral.
AGCAGUAGCCGCGGUAAUACGUAGGUCCCGAGCGUUGUCCGGAUUUAUUGGGCGUAAAGGGAGCGCAGGCGGUUUAGUAAGUCUGAAGUUAAAGGCAUUGGCUCAACCAAUGUAUGCUUUGGAAACUGUUAGACUUGAGUGCAGAAGGGGAGAGUGGAAUUCCGUGUGUAGCGGUGAAGUACGUAGAUAUAUGGAGGAACACCAGUGGCGAAGGCGACUCUCUGGUCUGUAACUGACGCUGAGGCGCGAAAGCGUGGGGAGCAAACAGGAUUAGAUACCCCAGUAGUCCCUGUCUCUUAUACA